AGAGUUUGAACCUGGCUCAGAUUGAACGCUGGCGGCAUGCCUUACACAUGCAAGUCGAACGGCAGCACGGGUGCUUGCACCUGGUGGCGAGUGGCGAACGGGUGAGUAAUACAUCGGAACAUGUCCUGUAGUGGGGGAUAGCCCGGCGAAAGCCGGAUUAAUACCGCAUACGAUCUACGGAAGAAAGCGGGGGACCUUCGGGCCUCGCGCUAUAGGGUUGGCCGAUGGCUGAUUAGCUAGUUGGUGGGGUAAAGGCCUACCAAGGCGACGAUCAGUAGCUGGUCUGAGAGGACGACCAGCCCACACUGGGACUGAGACACGGCCCAGACUCCUACGGGAGGCAGCAGUGGGGAAUUUUGGACAAUGGGCGAAAGCCUGAUCCAGCAAUGCCGCGUGUGUGAAGAAGGCCUUCGGGUUGUAAAGCACUUUUGUCCGGAAAGAAAUCCUGAGGGCUAAUAUCCUUCGGGGAUGACGGUACCGGAAGAAUAAGCACCGGCUAACUACGUGCCAGCAGCCGCGGUAAUACGUAGGGUGCGAGCGUUAAUCGGAAUUACUGGGCGUAAAGCGUGCGCAGGCGGUUUGCUAAGACCGAUGUGAAAUCCCCGGGCUCAACCUGGGAACUGCAUUGGUGACUGGCAGGCUAGAGUAUGGCAGAGGGGGGUAGAAUUCCACGUGUAGCAGUGAAAUGCGUAGAGAUGUGG
RNAcentral lists this ribosomal RNA (701 nucleotides) under Burkholderia glumae. Its description in RNAcentral is "bacterial SSU rRNA". It matches the Rfam family "Bacterial small subunit ribosomal RNA", at positions 8 to 701 of the family's 1533-position model. The record is from RNAcentral. Lineage: Bacteria; Pseudomonadati; Pseudomonadota; Betaproteobacteria; Burkholderiales; Burkholderiaceae.